GAUGAACGCUGGCGGCGUGCCUAAUACAUGCAAGUCGAGCGAACAGAUAAGGAGCUUGCUCCUUUGACGUUAGCGGCGGACGGGUGAGUAACACGUGGGUAACCUACCUAUAAGACUGGGAUAACUUCGGGAAACCGGAGCUAAUACCGGAUAACAUUUGGAACCGCAUGGUUCUAAAGUGAAAGAUGGUUUUGCUAUCACUUAUAGAUGGACCCGCGCCGUAUUAGCUAGUUGGUAAGGUAACGGCUUACCAAGGCAACGAUACGUAGCCGACCUGAGAGGGGGCAGGCCCACAGGGGAACUGAGACACGUUCCGGACACCAGGGGGGGGAAGAGGUAGGGAUUCUCCCGCAAUGGGGGAAGCCCUGAGGAGACACCGCGGGGGGAGUAAGGAGGGUUUUGGGCUCAAAAAACUUUUUAAUUAGGAAAAAAAAAUGGUGAAAGAACGGGUGCACGUCUUGAGGUAACCAAAGCAGAAAGCCAGGGAAAGGACCGGC
This 497-nucleotide ribosomal RNA is filed under the name uncultured bacterium. RNAcentral describes it as "partial 16S ribosomal RNA". It matches the Rfam family "Bacterial small subunit ribosomal RNA", at positions 28 to 508 of the family's 1533-position model. The record is from RNAcentral.